GGGCAUAGAACCUUCACAGGGCCUCUCCUC
Molecule: non-coding RNA, 30 nt
Filed under: Mus musculus (house mouse)
Lineage: Eukaryota; Metazoa; Chordata; Mammalia; Rodentia; Muridae
Source: RNAcentral